RNAcentral lists this ribosomal RNA (468 nucleotides) under uncultured bacterium. Its description in RNAcentral is "partial 16S ribosomal RNA". It matches the Rfam family "Bacterial small subunit ribosomal RNA", at positions 28 to 507 of the family's 1533-position model. The record is from RNAcentral.
GACGAACGCUGGCGGCGUGCUUAACACAUGCAAGUCGAACGGAAAGGCCCUGCUUUUGUGGGUUGCUCGUUUGGCGAACUGUUGAGUAACACGUGAGUAACCUGCCCUUGUCUUUGUUAUAACUUCAGGAAACUGGUGCUAAUACCUGAUAGGAUCUCCUGCUGCAUGGUGGUCUUUGGUAAGUUUCGGCGGUUGGGGAUUGUCUCGCGGCUUAUCAGCUUGUUGGUGGGGUUGUGGCUUACCAAGGAUUUGACGGGUAUCCGGCCUGAGAAGGUGAACGGAAACAUGGGGACUGAGAUAGGGACCAGUAUGCAACGGGAGGCAGCAGUGGGGAAAAUUGCAAAAAGGGCGGAAGCCUGAUGCAGCAAGGCCGGGAGCGGGAUGACGGCCUUCGGGUUGAAAACAGAUUUAGCAUGUGACGAAGAGGGAGUGACGGUAAUGGGUAAAGAAGCACCGGCUAACUACGUG